This 327-nucleotide ribosomal RNA is filed under the name uncultured eukaryote. RNAcentral's name for it is "partial 18S ribosomal RNA". It matches the Rfam family "Eukaryotic small subunit ribosomal RNA", at positions 1470 to 1796 of the family's 1831-position model. The record is from RNAcentral.
CCCUUAGAUGUUCUGGGCCGCACGCGCGCUACACUGACGAAUGCAACGAGCUUAUAACCUUGGCCGAAAGGUCUGGGUAAUCUCCAAAUUUCGUCGUGAUGGGGAUAGAUUAUUGCAAUUAUUAAUCUUCAACGAGGAAUGCCUAGUAAGCGCAAGUCAUCAGCUUGCGUUGAUUACGUCCCUGCCCUUUGUACACACCGCCCGUCGCUCCUACCGAUUGAAUGGUCCGGUGAAGCGUUCGGACCGUGGCCUUUGGACGGUUCGCCGUCUGUUGGCUGCGGGAAGUUCGUUAAACCUUAUCAUUUAAAGGAAGGAGAAGUCGUAACA